RNAcentral lists this ribosomal RNA (593 nucleotides) under Erinaceus europaeus (western European hedgehog). RNAcentral's name for it is "partial 12S ribosomal RNA". It matches the Rfam family "Bacterial small subunit ribosomal RNA", at positions 534 to 1409 of the family's 1533-position model. The record is from RNAcentral. Lineage: Eukaryota; Metazoa; Chordata; Mammalia; Eulipotyphla; Erinaceidae.
UUAACCCAUGAGAAUAGGAAAUCGGCGUAAAGAGUGUUUAGGAUAUUAAUAUAAUGAAAUUAAAAAAUGACUUAGCUGUAAAAAGCUCAUUUCAUAAAUAAAAACAUCUACAAAAGUGAUUUCAUAAGAUCUUAUUACACGUGAGCUAAGGCCCAAACUAGGAUUAGAUACCCUAUUAUGCUUAGCCCUAAACUUAGACAGUUACUUAACAAAAUUGUACGCCAGAGAACUACGAGCUACAGCUUAAAACUCAAAGGACUUGGCGGUGCUUUAUACCCCCUAGAGGAGCCUGUUCUGUAAUCGAUAAACCCCGAUCAACCUCACCAAUCUUUGCUAAUUCAGCCUUUAUACCGCCAUCUUCAGCGAACCCUAAAAAGGAAUAAAAGUAAGCACAAUGAUUCAAAUCAUAAAUAAGUUAGGUCAAGGUGCAGCCUAUAGAUUGGAAUGAAAUGGGCUACAUUCUUUACUAAAAAGUAUAACGGAAAUUAUUAUGAAACUAAAAAUUGAAGGAGGAUUUAGCAGUAAAUUAAGAGUAGAGUGCUUAAUUGAAUUUGGCAAUGAAGCAUGCACACACCGCCCGUCACCCUCUUCAA